UUUCGAAUCAUUCACAAUGGGCGACAGCCUGAUGGUGCGACGCCGCGUGAGGGAUGAAGGUCUUCGGAUUGUAAACCUCUGUCCCCGGGGAAGAAACGCUUUGAGUUAAUAGUUCAAAGCCUGACUUAACCCGGAGAGGAAGCAGUGGCUAACUCUGUGCCAGCAGCCGCGGUAAUACAGAGACUGCAAGCGUUAUUCGGAUUCACUGGGCGUCAAGGGUGCGCAGGCGGCCGUGUGUGUGAGGCGUGAAAGCCUGGAGCUUAACUCCAGAAUUGCACCGCAAACUACACGGCUAGAGCAUUGGAGAGGGUAGCAGAAUUCACGGUGUAGCAGUGAAAUGCGUAGAUAUCGUGAGGAAUACCAGAGGCGAAGGCGGCUACCGGGACAAUUGCUGACGCUCAGGCACGAAAGCGUGGGGAGCAAAAG
RNAcentral lists this ribosomal RNA (426 nucleotides) under uncultured Opitutus sp. RNAcentral describes it as "bacterial SSU rRNA". It matches the Rfam family "Bacterial small subunit ribosomal RNA", at positions 355 to 774 of the family's 1533-position model. The record is from RNAcentral. Lineage: Bacteria; Pseudomonadati; Verrucomicrobiota; Opitutia; Opitutales; Opitutaceae.